UACGUAGGUGGCAAGCGUUGUCCGGAAUUAUUGGGCGUAAAGCGCGCGCAGGCGGUUCUUUAAGUCUGACGUGAAAGCCCACGGCUCAACCGUGGAGGGUCAUUGGAAACUGGAGAACUUGAGUACAGAAGAGGAAAGCGGAAUUCCACGUGUAGCGGUGAAAUGCGUAGAGAUGUGGAGGAACACCAGUGGCGAAGGCGGCUUUCUGGUCUGUAACUGACGCUGAGGCGCGAAAGCGUGGGGAGCAAACAGG
RNAcentral lists this ribosomal RNA (253 nucleotides) under uncultured bacterium. Its description in RNAcentral is "partial 16S ribosomal RNA". It matches the Rfam family "Bacterial small subunit ribosomal RNA", at positions 524 to 776 of the family's 1533-position model. The record is from RNAcentral.